Molecule: ribosomal RNA, 468 nt
Filed under: uncultured bacterium
Lineage: Bacteria
Description: partial 16S ribosomal RNA
Rfam family: Bacterial small subunit ribosomal RNA
Source: RNAcentral
GACGAACGCUGGCGGCGUGCUUAACACAUGCGAGUCGAACGGAAAGGGCCUGCUUUUGUGGGGUGCUCGAGUGGCGAACGGGUGAGUAACACGUGAGUAACCUGCCCUUGACUUUGGGAUAACUUCAGGAAACUGGGGCUAAUACCGGAUAGGAGCUCCUGCUGCAUGGUGGGGGUUGGAAAGUUUCGGCGGUUGGGGAUGGACUCGCGGCUUAUCAGCUUGUUGGUGGGGUAGUGGCUUACCAAGGCUUUGACGGGUAGCCGGCCUGAGAGGGUGACCGGCCACAUUGGGACUGAGAUACGGCCCAGACUCCUACGGGAGGCAGCAGUGGGGAAUAUUGCACAAUGGGCGGAAGCCUGAUGCAGCAACGCCGCGUGCGGGAUGACGGCCUUCGGGUUGUAAACCGCUUUCGCCUGUGACGAAGCGUGAGUGACGGUAAUGGGUAAAGAAGCACCGGCUAACUACGUG